RNAcentral lists this ribosomal RNA (497 nucleotides) under uncultured bacterium. RNAcentral describes it as "partial 16S ribosomal RNA". It matches the Rfam family "Bacterial small subunit ribosomal RNA", at positions 28 to 507 of the family's 1533-position model. The record is from RNAcentral.
GACGAACGCUGGCGGCGUGCUUAAUACAUGCAAGUCGAGCGAACAGACGCGGAGCUUGUUGCUCUGUCGUUAGGGGCGGAGGGGUGAGUAACACGAGGAUAAUCUCCUUAUCAGUCUGGGAUAAUUACGGGAAACCGGAGCUAAUAACGGAGAAUAUACUGAACCGUAUGGUUCAUUAGUGAAAGACGGUUUUUGUGUCACUUAUAGAUGGAUCCGCGCCGGAUUAGCUAGUUGGUGGGGUAAGGGCUUACCAAGGCGAGGAUGCGUAGCCGGCCUGAGAGGGUGGUCGGCCGCACUGGAGCGGAGACACGGACCAGACACCUACGGGAGGCAGCAGUCGGGAAUGUUCCGCAAUGGGCGGAAGCCUGCCGGAGCAAGGCCGCGUGAGUGAGGAAGGUCUGCCGUUCGUUAAACACUCUUAUUAGGGAGGAACAAAUGUCUAAGUAACUAGGGGGUUCUUGACGGUACCCAGUAAAAAAGCCACGGCUAACUACGUG